GCGUAUUCCUGCCCUAAAAAAACCCCACAAAACCCGACUGCGAACAAGCUGAAAAUUGUCAAAAAGAAGUACUAUUAAAAAGAUUCAUUCUUAGAGAUGUUAACCACGAAAAUGACCUUUCUAGUUAUGUCUAAAAAGCGUGGUAUUAAAUGAUUUUUAAAGUUUUAAAAGAGUAGAGUCCUCGAGUCAAGUCAGCUGGAAUAUAAGAAAGGCACAAAGAUAGAGACAAAUGCUCCUAUGGUUUGUUGUUGAGCUGGCGGACGCAGGUUAAUCUCAGCCAAGAUUGUGAAAACAAGCUGCAGACUCGAAGGCAUGACCCAGGGAGGGAUGUACAUAAGGUAUUAAUGUAGCUCACCAAAAAUAAACAAAAGUAAUAAAAAGAAUAAAUAAAAAGUUUUACAAAUGGAAAAAUUGUUAAAAAAAUAGUAGAUACCUGCAUACAAUAACUUUUUUCCAAGUUAGCCUGACAGGUUCUUGUAUAAUAUUAGCCUGACAGGUUCUUGUAUAAUGUUAGCCUGACAGGUUCUUGUAUAAUGUGUGCUUUAAGACAUUAAGGCUAUUUGGGUUCAUAAAUAGGCUCUUGAUUUUAUAUGAAGAUAUUAUAACAAUGACUGGUAGAGUAAUUGAUGUAGAUUAGUUAAUUAUAACAUAAAUAGGUCUCCUUUAUUUUCCAGAAGAUCAUAUUUAGAAUAUUUUGUGGUGUUUAUUUAUUGUUUUAAAUUUUGAAGAUAAUAGAAAAGCACCCAUUUUUCUGUGAGGAACUUCUGUGAGGUUCUAAUUUUGUAAUAAAUAUUUCCUCCCUUCAAACCCAAUGAAAGCAUAGAUGUAUUUUGCUUAGUUAUUUUGCUGUAUCAGUUAUCUAUAUACAAUGAUACAUAACAACUCCCUUUUCUCUAUAGUUAGUUAAUGAUAUCCUGAGUAUUGUCAAUAAAUACCUACUAACGUUA
Long non-coding RNA from Nematostella vectensis (starlet sea anemone), 947 nucleotides. RefSeq lists it as uncharacterized. The transcript is spliced from 2 exons. NCBI's taxonomy places the organism in Eukaryota, Metazoa, Cnidaria, Anthozoa, Actiniaria, Edwardsiidae. The record is from RefSeq and is a predicted model, not a curated record.